Varroa destructor (honeybee mite) is the source of this 1422-nucleotide long non-coding RNA. The record is from RefSeq and is a predicted model, not a curated record. Lineage: Eukaryota; Metazoa; Arthropoda; Arachnida; Mesostigmata; Varroidae.
GCAGUGGAUUAUCCAGGCGACAAUUAGAUAGUGUUCUUGUCGAGUCUAUCUAGACCAGCUUGAAAAACAUAGAUGGGUAGUGGUCUUAAUUCGAAGUAGGCACGAGACAAGCAACAUGGCCUCUUUCAGAUGAUCGUUAAACAGCCCACCGGUUCUAAAUCAUUAACUUCUGAUAAAGAAACCAUUUCUCUAGAAAUGUAGACUAACUAACAAGCAUUACUGGGCUGUGAGAUGUUCUAAGAAAUAGCGUCGUUGAGUUUAAGGUGGCUGGAAAAGAUCCACGUGGACUCCACCUAGACGGCGCAGUCUACACUAACUCAUCCGACUGGCUCUGUACAAAUACUACAGGUGUAUAACUUUGUUCGUGCCGAGGGAGUGACAAAAGACUCCUGUAUCUUCUAAGAAAACACACUGCAGCGAUACUGAGUACUUUAGACAAUCCUGUGAGUUGCCCAAGGAAAACGAACGACAGAUAUCAGAUAAUGUUAGAACAGGAAGGAAACAUCCAUGUCAGUCUGCGCAGUCUAUUUUGUUUCAACAAGGAAACAAUGAAACCUGUCAUAGCUUUUCUGAUUUAGUACGCGUCAAACUCAACGACUAAGUCUGAUGUAAGCGGUCGGAUGUCGUUUUUAGAUUUGAAGUAAGUCGUUACAGGACGUUAAAAAAAAGUAUUAUACCAGGUUAAACCUUAAAUAAUAAAUUCACAUGGGCCAAUUGCAUAUGAUCCACGUAAGUAGAAUAUUAGUAGGGCAAUGUCAUAGAGGGCAAUGUCAUAGAAAGAAUCAGUAAUGGUUCUUUCUAUUACCUGCAUUAAUUUUUUUCUGCAGACAAAAAAGUUGUUUGUGUUACGCUUACCCUCGUAACAUUAAAACCUUUCUACGUUUGAUGUUUUACGUCCGGUAUCGCCGUUAGGCAUUGUCAGACGGAUGGCUCUCAGCACGAAGCCCAUCUGUGCUCGGCUCUGAACCCAGUCCCAGAAGAUUAUGGCACUAUAUCUUCUAGCCUGAUGGUUGGGAUUGUCCCCUAAAUGAGCAAGGCUACUACUUCAUACAAGACUAGACGUGAUUUCGAAAUCAUCCCUGUAGGAUGAAUUUUUCAGGAAGUUCCUCGUGGUAUAAUUGCGCUUAAUUAUUACUAAAGAGGAACAGGACUAUCACAUACUACUAGAUAUAACUGGUAUUAAAAAUUCAGCUCUUUAGCUCUUUCAAGCCAAACAGUCGAUCUGAUUUUCUGUUUUCCCGUAGAUUUCCUGUAUUAUUUUAAAACCUUUCUUUUUCUAAGUAUUUUUUUGACCUUUAGGAAAGCUUUUCGGGGCUAGAGAUUUAAAUUUAAUCUUGAGUGGCCUAAGUUCGAACCCGGUAUGGAAAGGCUUCGUUUCGUGCUGAGAGUUAACCAACCGUCUGAUGAAAUGCGUAACGACGA